Non-coding RNA from Pelodiscus sinensis (Chinese soft-shelled turtle), 118 nucleotides. The record is from RefSeq and is a predicted model, not a curated record. NCBI's taxonomy places the organism in Eukaryota, Metazoa, Chordata, Testudines, Trionychidae.
GGGGGCCCAGCUGGACCAGCCCCCCAGGAACCAGCUGAGAGACCCGGAGGAGACCACAGACGAUGAGCUGGGGACCAGCAUUGACACCAUGGCCAUCAAGAGGCAGAAGCACGGCAGG